Long non-coding RNA from Neodiprion fabricii, 874 nucleotides. RefSeq lists it as uncharacterized. The record is from RefSeq and is a predicted model, not a curated record. The transcript has 4 exons. Lineage: Eukaryota; Metazoa; Arthropoda; Insecta; Hymenoptera; Diprionidae.
GAAUUCAGUCGCUGCUGUACCUUUGGUUCGGUUGAACGUCGCCGGAGGAAACGGAAGUUUAAGUCACGCGAUAAAUAAAUCAUGAAGUACUUGUUGAUAUUUUCUGCAUUUUUCACGGUAUUACAUGCGCAGAAUUAUAAUUGCGGACGGGACAAAAUCAAUGCCACAGAGUAUAUCUCUGAAAAUAACUCGAGCCAACAGGAUCUUAUGAUGAUUUAUAGAAGGCAAAUGAGUUUGCCUGUCGCUUGGCCACGUGAAACGCUCAUAGAACUUGUGCCAUUAUCAUGCUUUCACCCACCCGUGAUUUCCGUCAAAAGGUGCUACGGGUACUGUCGGUCACCUCUCAACUAUAAACCGUUAAAAAUCACCAAGAAGCAAAUUAUCGUUAACCGUCGAUGCAAUGGUGCGGGAAAUAAGAGAGAGAACAAGUACAUCGCAAUAGAUGUCGAGGAACAUGUCGAAUGCAGCCGUCGUUGUGAGUGCCUGAUACCGGAAGAGGACUGCGUGAAAGACAAUAAACGCUUGAAUUCUUCUAUAUGUGCCUGUGUGUAACAGAAAUUUUGGAUAGAGCGGUAAAUGAAGCAAUAUACGUUAUGUUCCGGAAGUCACAGAUCAAAAAAGUCGACGGUUGGCAGCCAUUUGGUGAGGUGAACUUGAUUUUGGGAACAUUCCAUAUAUUGUCGAGCCACGAUUGAAAAAAAAUUGCCCAACCAACUUGACGUUGAUAUUUGAAAUGGUUAAAAAGGUACUAACAAUAGGAUAACUACUACGAAGGUUAGGGAUUAGGUUUGAAAAGGGCGCAACCAGCGAUUUUUCGACUAAAGACAAUCCUGCUAACGUGUCUCAACAGUUUUAACAUUCGGGUGGCAUACUA